Molecule: ribosomal RNA, 340 nt
Filed under: uncultured eukaryote
Lineage: Eukaryota
Description: SSU rRNA
Rfam family: Eukaryotic small subunit ribosomal RNA
Source: RNAcentral
CAAUAGCGUAUACUAAAGUUAGUUGCAGUUAAAAAGACUCGUAGUUGAAUUUCUGGUCGUGAAACGUGGUCCGUUCCGCAAGGAAUGUGUACUGUCGAUUCAUGUCCAUCCUCGGAGUUAGUGUGUAUUACUUUAAUCGGUCGUGCACAUGUCCUCCGUCAUUUACUGUGAGCAAAAUAGAGUGUUCAAAGCAGGCUUAUGCCGUUGAAUAUAUUAGCAUGGAAUAAUAAGAUAUGACUUUGGUUCUAUUUUGUUUGGUUUGCACUCCAAAGUAAUGAUUAAUAGGGAUAGUUGGGGGUAGUUCGUAUUCAAGUGUCAGAGGUGAAAUUACUUGGAUUUC